GACGAACGCUGGCGGCGUGCUUAACACAUGCAAGUCGAACGGAAAGGCCCUGCUUUUGUGGGGUGCUCGAGUUGCGAACGGGUGAGUAACACGUAAGUUCCCUGCCCCUGACUGUGGGAUAACUUCAGGAAACUGGGGCUAAUACCGGAUAGGAUCUCCUGCUGCAUGGUGGGGGUUGGUAAGUUUCGGCGGUUGGGGAUGGACUGGCGGCUUAUCAGCUUGUUGGUUGGGUAGUGUCUUAGCAAGGCCAUGACGGGUAGCCGGGCUGGGCGGGUGACCGGCCCAGUUAGGACGGGGAUGAGACCCGGACUAGUACGGGAGGCAACAGAGGGGAAGGGAGCACUGUGGGCUGAAGGCUGGUGUGGCAACGCCGUGCGCGGUGUGAGAGCCAGCGGGUUGGGAACCGCAUUCGUCUUUGACGGGGCGAGAGUGACGGUAAUGGGUAAAGAAGCACCGGCUAACUACGUG
RNAcentral lists this ribosomal RNA (468 nucleotides) under uncultured bacterium. RNAcentral describes it as "partial 16S ribosomal RNA". It matches the Rfam family "Bacterial small subunit ribosomal RNA", at positions 28 to 507 of the family's 1533-position model. The record is from RNAcentral.